UAAUGUAACAAGGUUUCCGUAGGUGAACCUGCGGAAGGAUC
This 41-nucleotide ribosomal RNA is filed under the name Lobothallia praeradiosa. RNAcentral's name for it is "partial 18S ribosomal RNA". Lineage: Eukaryota; Fungi; Ascomycota; Lecanoromycetes; Pertusariales; Megasporaceae. The record is from RNAcentral.